CGCGUAGGAAUCUACCUUGUAGUGGGGGAUAGCCCGGAGAAAUCCGGAUUAAUACCGCAUAAUACCUUAGGGUGAAAAGGGGCCUCUCCUUGGAAGCUCCUGCUAUUAGAUGAGCCUGCGUUGGAUUAGCUAGUUGGUAAGGUAAAGGCUUACCAAGGCGACGAUCUAUAGCUGGUCUGAGAGGAUGAUCAGCCACACUGGGACUGAGACACGGCCCAGACUCCUACGGGAGGCAGCAGUGGGGAAUAUUGGACAAUGGGGGCAACCCUGAUCCAGCCAUGCCGCGUGUGUGAAGAAGGC
RNAcentral lists this ribosomal RNA (300 nucleotides) under uncultured Alteromonadales bacterium. RNAcentral describes it as "bacterial SSU rRNA". It matches the Rfam family "Bacterial small subunit ribosomal RNA", at positions 114 to 415 of the family's 1533-position model. Lineage: Bacteria; Pseudomonadati; Pseudomonadota; Gammaproteobacteria; Alteromonadales. The record is from RNAcentral.